GGGUUAGUAGGUUGGUCAUGCCUCUGGUAUGUACUGGUCUCACUGAUUCCUCCUUCCUGAUGAACCUUAAUGCCAUUUAUUUGGUGUCUUGGGGAAUUUGGACUGUUACUUUGAAAAAAUUAGAGUGUUUAAAGCAGGCUCACGCUUGAAUACAUUAGCAUGGAAUAACGAAAUAGGACGUUUGAUUUUAUUUUGUUGGUUUCUAGGAUCGACGUA
This 216-nucleotide ribosomal RNA is filed under the name Campeiostachys nutans. RNAcentral's name for it is "Elymus nutans partial small subunit ribosomal RNA". The stretch from base 40 to 216 matches the Rfam family "Eukaryotic small subunit ribosomal RNA", at positions 686 to 864 of the family's 1831-position model. The record is from RNAcentral. Lineage: Eukaryota; Viridiplantae; Streptophyta; Magnoliopsida; Poales; Poaceae.